This 461-nucleotide ribosomal RNA is filed under the name uncultured Sphingobacteriales bacterium. Its description in RNAcentral is "bacterial SSU rRNA". It matches the Rfam family "Bacterial small subunit ribosomal RNA", at positions 920 to 1382 of the family's 1533-position model. Lineage: Bacteria; Pseudomonadati; Bacteroidota; Sphingobacteriia; Sphingobacteriales. The record is from RNAcentral.
CCCGCGACAAGCGGAGGAGUCAUGUGGUUUAAUUCGAUGAUACGCGAGGAACCUUACCUGGGCUCGAACGUAAGAUGACUGUAGGUGAAAGCUUACAUCUCUUCGGAGCAUUUUACGAGGUGCUGCAUGGUUGUCGUCAGCUCGUGCCGUGAGGUGUCGGGUUAAGUCCCAUAACGAGCGCACCCUACCUUUAGUUGCCAUCAGGUAAUGCUGGGGACUCUAAAGGAACUGCCUACGCAAGUAGUGAGGAAGCGGGGAUGACGUCAAAUCAGCACGGCCCUUACGUCCAGGGCUACACACGUGCUACAAUGGCCGAUACAGAGGGCAGCUACCUGGUGACAGGAUGCAAAUCUCCAAAGUCGGUCUCAGUUCGGAUCGGAGUCUGCAACCCGACUCCGUGAAGUUGGAUUCGCUAGUAAUCGCGCAUCAGCCAUGGCGCGGUGAAUACGUUCCCGGGCCUU